RNAcentral lists this ribosomal RNA (1371 nucleotides) under uncultured bacterium. RNAcentral's name for it is "16S ribosomal RNA". It matches the Rfam family "Bacterial small subunit ribosomal RNA", at positions 30 to 1394 of the family's 1533-position model. The record is from RNAcentral.
UGAACGCUGGCGGCAUGCCUUACACAUGCAAGUCGAACGGCAGCAUGAUCUAGCUUGCUAGAUUGAUGGCGAGUGGCGAACGGGUGAGUAAUACAUCGGAACGUGCCCUGUAGUGGGGGAUAACUAGUCGAAAGAUUAGCUAAUACCGCAUACGACCUGAGGGUGAAAGUGGGGGACCGCAAGGCCUCAUGCUAUAGGAGCGGCCGAUGUCUGAUUAGCUAGUUGGUGGGGUAAAGGCCCACCAAGGCGACGAUCAGUAGCUGGUCUGAGAGGACGAUCAGCCACACUGGGACUGAGACACGGCCCAGACUCCUACGGGAGGCAGCAGUGGGGAAUUUUGGACAAUGGGCGAAAGCCUGAUCCAGCAAUGCCGCGUGUGUGAAGAAGGCCUUCGGGUUGUAAAGCACUUUUGUCCGGAAAGAAAUGGCUCUGGUUAAUACCUGGGGUCGAUGACGGUACCGGAAGAAUAAGGACCGGCUAACUACGUGCCAGCAGCCGCGGUAAUACGUAGGGUCCAAGCGUUAAUCGGAAUUACUGGGCGUAAAGCGUGCGCAGGCGGUUGUGCAAGACCGAUGUGAAAUCCCCGAGCUUAACUUGGGAAUUGCAUUGGUGACUGCACGGCUAGAGUGUGUCAGAGGGGGGUAGAAUUCCACGUGUAGCAGUGAAAUGCGUAGAGAUGUGGAGGAAUACCGAUGGCGAAGGCAGCCCCCUGGGAUAACACUGACGCUCAUGCACGAAAGCGUGGGGGAGCAAACAGGAUUAGAUACCCUGGUAGUCCACGCCCUAAACGAUGUCAACUAGUUGUUGGGGAUUCAUUUCCUUAGUAACGUAGCUAACGCGUGAAGUUGACCGCCUGGGGAGUACGGUCGCAAGAUUAAAACUCAAAGGAAUUGACGGGGACCCGCACAAGCGGUGGAUGAUGUGGAUUAAUUCGAUGCAACGCGAAAAACCUUACCUACCCUUGACAUGCCACUAACGAAGCAGAGAUGCAUUAGGUGCUCGAAAGAGAAAGUGGACACAGGUGCUGCAUGGCUGUCGUCAGCUCGUGUCGUGAGAUGUUGGGUUAAGUCCCGCAACGAGCGCAACCCUUGUCUCUAGUUGCUACGAAAGGGCACUCUAGAGAGACUGCCGGUGACAAACCGGAGGAAGGUGGGGAUGACGUCAAGUCCUCAUGGCCCUUAUGGGUAGGGCUUCACACGUCAUACAAUGGUGCAUACAGAGGGUUGCCAAGCCGCGAGGUGGAGCUAAUCCCAGAAAAUGCAUCGUAGUCCGGAUCGUAGUCUGCAACUCGACUACGUGAAGCUGGAAUCGCUAGUAAUCGCGGAUCAGCAUGCCGCGGUGAAUACGUUCCCGGGUCUUGUACACACCGCC